CAGUUCUGCUAGUAAACUCUGCUCCGUGGGAAACAGAGAAUGCUUCAGAAUUGCAGCCAGGCUUGCCUCUGAUUCCGCUAAAUUAAUCAUCUGUCGUAUAUCCUAAAAAUUUUGGUCGAUAAACAAGAUUG
Myotis brandtii (Brandt's bat) is the source of this 131-nucleotide long non-coding RNA. RefSeq lists it as uncharacterized. The record is from RefSeq and is a predicted model, not a curated record. NCBI's taxonomy places the organism in Eukaryota, Metazoa, Chordata, Mammalia, Chiroptera, Vespertilionidae. The transcript is spliced from 4 exons.